GCAUACGUGAUGAUUUCCAUUCUUUUGUCGGAUACCCCUUCACUCCCUGAUGAGUGAGAUCUUUCUCUGACAUGC
Molecule: small nucleolar RNA, 75 nt
Filed under: Gouania willdenowi (blunt-snouted clingfish)
Lineage: Eukaryota; Metazoa; Chordata; Actinopteri; Blenniiformes; Gobiesocidae
Description: Small nucleolar RNA SNORD101 (ENSGWIG00000010661.1)
Rfam family: Small nucleolar RNA SNORD101
About the family: snoRNA U101 is a member of the C/D class of snoRNA which contain the C (UGAUGA) and D (CUGA) box motifs and guide the 2'-O-methylation of rRNA and snRNAs. The precise target of this family is unknown.
Source: Rfam by way of RNAcentral